CAGUAGCCGCGGUAAUACAGAGGGUGCGAGCGUUAAUCGGAUUUACUGGGCGUAAAGCGUGCGUAGGCGGCUUUUUAAGUCGGAUGUGAAAUCCCUGAGCUUAACUUAGAAAUUGCAUUCGAUACUGGGAAGCUAGAGUAUGGGAGAGGAUGGUAGAAUUCCAGGUGUAGCGGUGAAAUGCGUAGAGAUCUGGAGGAAUACCGAUGGCGAAGGCAGCCAUCUGGCCUAAUACUGACGCUGAGGUACGAAAGCAUGGGGAGCAAACAGGAUUAGAUACCCCCGUAGUCCCUGUCUCUUAUAC
RNAcentral lists this ribosomal RNA (301 nucleotides) under uncultured bacterium. RNAcentral's name for it is "partial 16S ribosomal RNA". It matches the Rfam family "Bacterial small subunit ribosomal RNA", at positions 509 to 807 of the family's 1533-position model. The record is from RNAcentral.